GGUGUGGCUCAAUGGUAGGGUGCUUGCCUGGCAUGCAUAAGGUCUGGGGUUCAAUCCCCAGCACC
RNAcentral lists this transfer RNA (65 nucleotides) under Ictidomys tridecemlineatus (thirteen-lined ground squirrel). Its description in RNAcentral is "Spermophilus tridecemlineatus (thirteen-lined ground squirrel) tRNA". It matches the Rfam family "tRNA". Rfam says of the family: Transfer RNA (tRNA) molecules are approximately 80 nucleotides in length. Their secondary structure includes four short double-helical elements and three loops (D, anti-codon, and T loops). The record is from Rfam by way of RNAcentral. Lineage: Eukaryota; Metazoa; Chordata; Mammalia; Rodentia; Sciuridae.